RNAcentral lists this ribosomal RNA (442 nucleotides) under uncultured Lachnospiraceae bacterium. RNAcentral describes it as "bacterial SSU rRNA". It matches the Rfam family "Bacterial small subunit ribosomal RNA", at positions 337 to 796 of the family's 1533-position model. Lineage: Bacteria; Bacillati; Bacillota; Clostridia; Lachnospirales; Lachnospiraceae. The record is from RNAcentral.
GCCUACGGGGGGCAGCAGUGGGGAAUAUUGCGCAAUGGGGGAAACCCUGACGCAGCAACGCCGCGUGAAGGAAGAAGGUCUUCGGAUUGUAAACUUCUUUGAUUGGGGACGAUAAUGACGGUACCCAAGGAACAAGCCACGGCUAACUACGUGCCAGCAGCCGCGGUAAUACGUAGGUGGCAAGCGUUGUCCGGAAUUACUGGGGGUAAAGGGCGUGUAGGCGGGGAAGCAAGUCAGAUUGGAAAUUCCGGGUGUCAACCCCGGCGCUGCAUCUGAAACUGUUUCUCUUGAGUGCUGGAGAGGAAAGCGGAAUUCCUAGUGUAGCGGUGAAAUGCGUAGAUAUUAGGAGGAACACCAGUGGCGAAGGCGGCUUUCUGGACAGUAACUGACGCUGAGGCGCGAAAGCGUGGGGAGCGAACAGGAUUAGAUACCCUAGUAGUCG